AAAAAAACAAACCCUGGGUUUCCGUGUCUAACGUUUGACCGUUCGUCUUAUUUGAAAAAAAUUAAAAAGACAAGUCACGCAUAAAGUAUUAAUCAUGUUUUAUCAUCUAACAACAAUGAAAAUACUAAUUAUACAAAAAUUUCAUAUAAGAUGGACAGUCAAAUGUUGGACACGGAAACCUAGCUAGGGUUUGU
Oryza glumipatula is the source of this 194-nucleotide non-coding RNA. The record is from Rfam. Lineage: Eukaryota; Viridiplantae; Streptophyta; Magnoliopsida; Poales; Poaceae.